CUACGGAGUACAUAAGAUUAUUAAAAUAAUAAUCAUAUCACCAUGAACUUUUUAAGUUCAUUUAACAGUUACAAAAAAAGAUUUAUGAAAAUUUAUAUCCAGUUUUGAGAGUUCUAUCUCUCUUAUAGUUCUUUGAAAACUGAAUAGAAAAGACAUUUGUAAAUAUUAAUAUUUCAAACGUUUUGAUCAACCAAUAUAGAAUACAAAAUCAUAUCUAAUUCUUAAUUUUAAAUUAGGACAAUAGGUCAUA
Molecule: unclassified non-coding RNA, 250 nt
Filed under: Mycoplasma zalophi
Lineage: Bacteria; Bacillati; Mycoplasmatota; Mollicutes; Mycoplasmatales; Mycoplasmataceae
Description: 16S-23S ribosomal RNA intergenic spacer
Source: RNAcentral